Long non-coding RNA from Chelonus insularis, 384 nucleotides. RefSeq lists it as uncharacterized. The transcript has 3 exons. The record is from RefSeq and is a predicted model, not a curated record. Lineage: Eukaryota; Metazoa; Arthropoda; Insecta; Hymenoptera; Braconidae.
UUAAGACACGCAAAGUUAAAGGCUGGACUUUCUGUUUCUGAAUACUUUUCCAACAUUCCAGCAUUGGGAGUAGCUCAAGGAAUUCAACUAAUUCAAGCAGACUUCAAACACAUAUACUCUGAAAAUUUAUUUAACCAGAAUCGAUGGCGUAUCAUAAAAAAUUAUUUGAUGAAUCGGUUGAUGAAUGGGUCUUUUAUAAAGACUUUGCAGGACGAGGCCUUGCUUUUAUUAUUACCAACAUUGCUUGCUCAUAAUCAAGAUGCAGUGAUACUCUACUUGCUACCAAACUUGAUUCAAGGUGGCACAAAAAAAAAACAAAUGAUCAAAACCAAGUAGAGCUGACUAAAUUUACGCCUGUAGAACAACGUUCUUAUUUUUUAAUUC